GAUUACUUUUGUCAUAUACUAAAAUUAGAAUGAUGCAGAUAAGGGUAUUAUUGUCCCUGUGAAAAGUUGACAUGGAUAUUUGUGAAUCAUUGCUUAUUUUU
RNAcentral lists this small nuclear RNA (101 nucleotides) under Meriones unguiculatus (Mongolian gerbil). The record is from RNAcentral. Lineage: Eukaryota; Metazoa; Chordata; Mammalia; Rodentia; Muridae.